Molecule: long non-coding RNA, 3479 nt
Organism: Lycium barbarum (goji berry)
Lineage: Eukaryota; Viridiplantae; Streptophyta; Magnoliopsida; Solanales; Solanaceae
Exons: 2
Source: RefSeq, a predicted model, not a curated record
UCAGCAACUAAACUAACCAAACAGCCCCCUAACCAAACGCUCCUCUCAUCUCCUUCUCUUCCACCACGCCGCCACCCCCCUUUACCCAUCGGACCGAUGGCGAAAGCCGAUUUCGGCGUCACUGACGCCACCUCCCAUCAACCCCUGUCCCUUUCUCCCCUUUUCUUCAAGUGACAGAGCUUCGAACAGCUCGUCCAAGUCAAUCAGCCCUCAAAUCAAAAAGCAUGCAAGGAUCUUUGGGUUUCUAGGCAGAUCUUCCAACAAUCCAUGGGGUAAGGGCUCGUUCCAAUCCGUUGGAGCCCAAAACCAUUAGAUUCGGCUCUUCUCCUCUCAAAUCAAACAGAAAAGUAUUUGGUUAUCGAAAUCUCCUUUCAAGUUCUCGACUGAGCAAGGACUGUUUGGAGCGGAUUCAGAGACCCGACGACGACAUUAACCUCAGUUCGCUGUCACGGAGAAGGUAACCACACUCGUCCUCUCUUCGUCUUUCAUUUUAUAAGAAGUAGAAACGUAGUCGUUCAAGUAUUUUUUCGUUGUUUACCUGGUUUGGUUGGCUGGAAUGUGUUCUCUAUUCGUUUGUUGUAAAUUAGUGUGAGGCGAUUAAUUUCGUCGAAUAGGUGUUUAACUCCCGUCGCUGCCGUCAAAAGAUAAUACUUGAACCCCAUUUUAUUCCUAUCAUUCAUUUUCGCAUUAGCAUGUAAGUGUUUAUUUUGGUUUGUUUUGAGAAGAUUUAUUUUAAAAUAUGUAGCCUAAUGUUGGCAGAAAAAUGGUGCUGUUUUAAGCUUUAAAGGCUGUUGGCAAUCGUUUAAAGUACUGCAGUACUGUUGGUUAACCGUUAAUAUGAUUGGUGCUUUGCUUCUCUCGUUAUGAUUAGUUUAGGUAGUACCAAUGUAAGAACUGAUUCCUAAGUCAUUUGGGGAAUGAAUUAGCAUGAAUGUUGUUUGGUAGCUGUUAACAUACAUUUGGUUUCAAUUAAUCAUCAUGGUUGGUUUAAAUAAGCGUUCAAUGAAGUACUAGCUCGAGAUUGUGACAUAAGCAUGAGACUAGGAUGUUUAACCCGUGUGUGUCCUUGAAAGCUUCUUGUUAAACCUGAGAUGAAUGCUGCCUUGAGCCUGGAUUAUAGUUUGUUUGUGCGUCUGUUUUAAGUGUGGGUUAAUUCAAGUCUUGAGAGGUCUCUUUUGUUUAACUGAGGCAGGAAUCUGUACGUGUAAAAAUAUCCCAUGAUCAUAGGUAUUAAAGGGAUUCAAACAUUGUUUUGGUGUAAACUCAUUUAGCUUGCUAGACUGUCUAUGUGUGGUUAUGAAACUAAGAUGUAGUUGAGCCCCUUUUCCUUUCUUUCUGAAGUACAAAUAGCUUAAAGUUUGGAUCUGUGGCAGCCUUGUAUCGGUCUGUUUUGUUGUGACCAAACUACUAUUAUUUGUUCAAAAGUGUUGGGAAUUCACCUCUGUUUUGGUUACAUGAUAUGCUAUACACUAGAAGUUGAUAAAUGGUUUAAAACAAUACUGCUUGGUUGCUAAAUGGGAUUCUGUGAUAAAAUAUUAAGUUUGCGGCCACAAUAAAUAAGAAUCUGCAAGCUUCUUUCCCCUUUCAAACAUCCACUUUUGGUUCUGUUUUCAAAAUAAAUGUAAAGGCUUAGAAGUAAACCUCUUAGAGUUGGAAACUACUUAGUCCAACCGAGUUUGAAUAUUAACCUUUGUUUAGGACUUCAGAUGUUCUAAAGAAAACGAACAGUUAUUAGUUUGUGUUCAUUCCCCAUAAAAAGAUCAGUCAAUCAUCUUAUUUAGAACCCCUUAUACAAGGCUGAGAUCAGAGUAUUUUUGUACACUGUGGCAGCCUUAUACCUGAUGUUAUUUGUUUUACAAAUACAACGUGGCAGCCUUGAACAUCUUAGUGAACCAUCCUCUGAUGAGGACAGGAAUCAUUUUCUUGCUCGACUCGCUAGAAAUAUCUACCCUCAAUGUCGACCCGGCCUUGGCCAACGCUUGGAGGAGAUGUUUAUUAUGUCAGCUUAUUGUUAUGUCCAGUUUACAAGCAAAGGAAUUUUUGCUCGUUUCAGUACACCUGGUCAUUCCGCGGUUAGAUUAACUUGGCGUCAGUUUUGCCAUAAUCAAUUCGAAUUAAACUUUCCAUUUGAUCCCGGUUCUAAUUUGUUUACUAUAUUCCUUGGAGCUAUUAGAAAUUGUGAAUACUGGGAUGCUUCAAGUAAUUUGAACCUUGCUAAAUUCCUGAAAUUAACUAUGUGGAAUUAUUGCACUGCACCCAUGAAACUUCAUAUCAGAGAAAAAAAAACAGUGAGCUCAAAUAUGCUCUCUUGCAAGUUUCCGCUGAUGUUUUCUUGGCAGUUCCCUUGAACAUGCUUCCUGGACUUGCCAGAGGUCUUGGUAGUCGCAUGAACAGCUUGGUGCCACUAAGAAAUUUGUGGGAUUUUCUAUAGCAGUUUUGGUUGUACGACCCUUCUGAUGUUUUGCACUAUGUUCAUAGAUCAAGUGUACAACCACCAGGAGAGCAAUAUAUAUUGUCUCUUAUGAGUAUGUGCCACAAAACCUACUGUUUUAGGAGCAAGCUACAAGGGUGUAGAGUUUUGUUUGAGUUUAUAGCAAACAUAUAAACUUUACUGUUUAGGACUUAGUGAGUUUCAUUUUAGUUCAGAUUCUUCUUUGUUUAUCUUGCUUGAACGGUGUAUUCAUGUGAUUUUUUUAGAAUCUCAGUGCGAGUUUGUUUGGGGCAAUUCAGAGAUCAUACUUGCAGGCGUCUUUGUUCCUUGUCAUGCUAGUUCAAUAAAUUUGAGUACUUAAUUUUGGCAUUGAGUUUUGUCACCAUUGGAAUACUAUUUAUAUUGAGUUUGCUGCACACUUAUUCUCUUUCCAGUGAAGUGUAUUAGAACACAUAAUUUGAUUAAUAUGUCUUGCUAAAUACUCUACUUGCAUAAUUAAAAUAGUGAAUAAUUUUGCUAGAUGGACAUUUGUUCCCUUUUUACCCAGGUCAUACCAUAUUGUGUGAUACGAAUUUAGUACUUCCUCAUUGCUAGACUUGAAUAUUGGAUUUGAUAAUUCAUAGCUAAGGUUCUAGGAUAUUAGUUAAAAUUUGUGUGUUUAGUUAUAAGUUUAUACAUUAUUUGGCAUUUCUUUUCAAGUUGCACUCUAAUCCUUAUCUUUUUUUUUUCCUUUGUUUUUCAUGAAACACUUGGGAGCAUUUGGAGUUAUGGCAACUCCGGAUUCUGCCCAGAUCAGAGAGAAACUAGUAGCAGCAGUUCUGCUCGUGCCUAGCUGUUCCCGAUUUCCGCUCGCGUCUUAAGUGUCGACGCCCUCUUUCCUUUAUUCAAAUUUUAUGUCUUUGUAUUGAUGUGUCGUUUAUAUAUUUUACUAACAUUUUGUGAGUUUUGUAUUUGCAGUAUUUAUUUCUUGUUUUGGGCAUGACCUCUCAAGAAUGGUUAAGAGGAAUAGUUUGCUUAAUCUUCCCGCUAUUAGACUUUACUUAAUCAA